Chlorocebus sabaeus (green monkey) is the source of this 383-nucleotide non-coding RNA. NCBI's taxonomy places the organism in Eukaryota, Metazoa, Chordata, Mammalia, Primates, Cercopithecidae. The record is from RefSeq and is a predicted model, not a curated record.
GGCUCAAGUGAUCCUCCCACCUCAGCCUCUAGAGUAGCUGGGACUACAGGUUGAGACUGUACAUUUUUGGAAAGAAUACCUCAGAAGUGAUGUUAUUGUCCAUCUAUGUCCCUGUAUCAUAUCAAAGGUCAAUACAAGAAUUACUGACAAUGGACCCUGGUUUUAUGUAUAUUUCUGUUCUAUGAUUAAUAGCACAAAAUAGUUCACUUUAUUUUCCUCUCAGAAUAUUUUUGAUCAAUGAGUUGCCUUGGUUAUAUGAUGUGGAUCUCACACUUCCAUUUUCUCAGGCAGAAUGCUACCGCUGAACAAAAGAGAGAUUUGUUGGUGGCCCUCCAAUCAUGAGAAUGUAGCAAUAAAAUAAAGAAAAUCGAUAUAGAAAACAA